RNAcentral lists this transfer RNA (73 nucleotides) under Bos taurus (domestic cattle). It matches the Rfam family "tRNA". Rfam says of the family: Transfer RNA (tRNA) molecules are approximately 80 nucleotides in length. Their secondary structure includes four short double-helical elements and three loops (D, anti-codon, and T loops). The record is from Rfam by way of RNAcentral. Lineage: Eukaryota; Metazoa; Chordata; Mammalia; Artiodactyla; Bovidae. RNAcentral also lists the same sequence under 1 other name.
UCCCUGGUGGUGCAGUGGUUAGGACUCUGCACUUCCACUGUAGAGGGCACAAGUUCGAUCCCUGGUCAGAGAA